RNAcentral lists this ribosomal RNA (465 nucleotides) under uncultured bacterium. Its description in RNAcentral is "partial 16S ribosomal RNA". It matches the Rfam family "Bacterial small subunit ribosomal RNA", at positions 28 to 507 of the family's 1533-position model. The record is from RNAcentral.
GACGAACGCUGGCGGCGUGCUUAACACAUGCAAGUCGAACGGAAAGGCCCUGCUUGCAGGGUCCUCGAGUGGCGAACGGGUGAGUAACACGUGGGUGAUCUGCCCUGCACUUCUGGAUAAGCCUGGGAAACUGGGUCUAAUACCGGAUAGGAGCCAUUUUUAGCGUGAUGGUUGGAAAGUUUUUUCGGUGUAGGAUGAGCUGGCGGCCUAUCAGCUUGUUGGUGGGGUAAUGGCCUACCAAGGCGGCGACGGGUAGCCGGACUGUGAGGGUGGACGGCGACAUUGGGACUGAGAGGCGGCCCAGACUCCUACGGGUGGCAGCAGGGGGGAAUAUUGCACAAUGGGCGCAAGCCGGGUGCAGCGGCGCCGCGUGGGGGAUGACGGCCUUCGGGUUGAAGACAACUUUCGCUAGGGACGAAGCUUUUUGUGACGGUACCUAGAGAAGAAGCACCGGCUAACUACGUG